CAGUCGCCGCGGGAACACAGAGGGUGCGAGCGUUAAUCGGAUUUACUGGGCGUAAAGCGUGCGUAGGCGGCUUCUUAAGUCGGAUGUGAAAUCCCUGAGCUUAACUUAGGAAUUGCAUUCGAUACUGGGAAGCUAGAGUAUGGGAGAGGAUGGUAGAAUUCCAGGUGUAGCGGUGAAAUGCGUAGAGAUCUGGAGGAAUACCGAUGGCGAAGGCAGCCAUCUGGCCUAAUACUGACGCUGAGGUACGAAAGCAUGGGGAGCAAACAGGAUUAGAUACCCGCGUAGUCCCUGUCUCUUAUAA
This 301-nucleotide ribosomal RNA is filed under the name uncultured bacterium. RNAcentral describes it as "partial 16S ribosomal RNA". It matches the Rfam family "Bacterial small subunit ribosomal RNA", at positions 509 to 809 of the family's 1533-position model. The record is from RNAcentral.